RNAcentral lists this ribosomal RNA (330 nucleotides) under uncultured eukaryote. RNAcentral's name for it is "partial 18S ribosomal RNA". It matches the Rfam family "Eukaryotic small subunit ribosomal RNA", at positions 1470 to 1796 of the family's 1831-position model. The record is from RNAcentral.
CCCUUAGAUGUUCGGGGCCGCACGCGCGCUACACUGAAGGAAUCAGCGCGUCUUUCUCCUUGUCCGAAAGGACUGGGCAACCCGCUGAACCUCCUUCGUGCUAGGGAUUGGGGCUUGUAAUUCUUCCCCAUGAACGAGGAAUUCCCAGUAAGCGCGAGUCAUAAGCUCGCGUUGAUUACGUCCCUGCCCUUUGUACACACCGCCCGUCGCUACUACCGAUUGGAUGGUUUAGUGAGAUCCUCGGAUUGGUCCCGGCGCGGCCUCCGGUCGUGCCGGAGUGCCGAAAAGAAUGUCGAACUUGAUCAUCUAGAGGAAGUAAAAGUCGUAACA